Non-coding RNA from Lactuca sativa (garden lettuce), 1101 nucleotides. The record is from RefSeq and is a predicted model, not a curated record. Lineage: Eukaryota; Viridiplantae; Streptophyta; Magnoliopsida; Asterales; Asteraceae.
GUAUUGGAAUUUUCAUAAAAUGAGUUUUAAUAAAGGAACUUGUGUUUAUGGUUAAAACCGACAACAUGUCAAACCUAACGGAUCAAAACUGACAACUUUCGAAAGUGUUAAUUUUCUUUCCAAAACUGGAAAAACUUAUGUGGCAAAUUUGUAAAGACAAAAAACUAUACUAUUCUCUAAACCUUAGCAAAAAAUUUAGAAAAUAUAUUAUAAAGAAGUUAAUCCAUAUAACAACCACAAUGGUGAUAAAAACCCAAAAACUCUAAACUUCCGCCACAAAAACUAAAGAAAAAAAUAUUGUGGAGAAAACAAAAAGUAAGAAAAGUUCGCUGUUCCCUAACCCUUUGGGAAUUAAUCUCAAUUAGUUGUGGCAAAAGUCUAAACCCCACAUGAAAGAGGAGUAAAAGUGGCAAUCUCUACAAAAUUUUGUGUCAAAACUUGGAAGCUGAUAAAGUAUACUGUUCCCUAAACCCUUUGGUAAUUAAUAUAUAUAUGAAUGUGGUCCAAACCAAAGCAGAAAAUAAAAAAAUAAUAAUAAAAUAAAAAAUAAAAAAACAGCAGACACUAUUCACAAAGGGGCCUCAGGUUUAAUAGUUAUAUAAAUUACGAAUUUACCCUUUUUCAUACACACACGAAUAAAUUUUUGAAUUUUUUUUAAUUUGUUAUAAUUUCAGAUGAUCCUAAACUAAAAAGUGUGUAUGUUAUUGGGUGCCAAGUUGAGUUAAUCGAAUCAGUUCAAACUCAGGUUUGUUCCGGUUUGCGUUGGGUUUCUCGGAAUUGGAGAGUCUAAGGUCACCAAUUUAAGUCGAAGUUCAAUAGAUUGUAGGCUUAUGAUGAAUCUGAGGUUAUGGUUCUUAAAGGUGAACACACACUCCGAAUUCUCAAGUCUUUUUGCUGAAUGAACAAGUAUUCUAAAUUUCUAUUACUAGGUGUGUGGAAUCUGUUAUUUCAAUGACUACAACAAUUCCAAAAGGAUGUAUAAUUAUCAAACAUGAUGCUUAUCUUAUAGGAACCAAUUCUCAUAGAAAUCAAUAGUAAUUGAUUACUCUAUUGUAGCUCUUCAAUUUCAGAGUUCCACUGAAUGUUAUUGUUUUAACAAUU